GGUUUUUUUCCCAAGCCAUCUUAGAGAGAUCUAUCAUGACAUUUUUCCUUAGUAUAAUUGAAUCUGAGACACUUAAAUGACCAGCUGCGGGAAAUGAGGCUUCUUUGAAUGCCAAGUGGCUGAGAACAGCAUCAAUACCAUUCAAAAAUAGACGAACUAAUUGAAGAAACUGUUAAAGAAAUGAUAACACUCUUGGUUGCAAAGUUCGUUACUAUCUUGGAAGGAGUGCUGGCAAAAUUAUCCAGAUAUGACGAAGGGACUUUGUUUUCCUCUUUUCUGUCAUUUACC
RNAcentral lists this small RNA (288 nucleotides) under Pan troglodytes (chimpanzee). RNAcentral describes it as "processed transcript". The record is from RNAcentral. Lineage: Eukaryota; Metazoa; Chordata; Mammalia; Primates; Hominidae.